Molecule: ribosomal RNA, 909 nt
Filed under: Aspergillus neoniveus
Lineage: Eukaryota; Fungi; Ascomycota; Eurotiomycetes; Eurotiales; Aspergillaceae
Description: LSU rRNA
Rfam family: Eukaryotic large subunit ribosomal RNA
Source: RNAcentral
GCAUAUCAAUAAGCGGAGGAAAAGAAACCAACCGGGAUUGCCUCAGUAACGGCGAGUGAAGCGGCAAAAGCUCAAAUUUGAAAGCUGGCCCCUCCGGGGUCCGCAUUGUAAUUUGCAGAGGAUGCUUCGGGUGCGGCCCCUAUCUAAGUGCCCUGGAAUGGGCCGUCGGAGAGGGUGAGAAUCCCGUCUGGGAUGGGGUGUCCGCGUCCAUGUGAAGCUCCUUCGACGAGUCGAGUUGUUUGGGAAUGCAGCUCUAAAUGGGUGGUAAAUUUCAUCUAAAGCUAAAUACUGGCCGGAGACCGAUAGCGCACAAGUAGAGUGAUCGAAAGAUGAAAAGCACUUUGAAAAGAGAGUUAAACAGCACGUGAAAUUGUUGAAAGGGAAGCGCUUGCGACCAGACUCGCCUGCGGGGUUCAGCCGGCAUUCGUGCCGGUGUACUUCCCCGUGGGCGGGCCAGCGUCGGUUUGGGCGGCCGGUCAAAGGCCUCCGGAAUGUAGUGCCCUUCGGGGCACCUUAUAGCCGGGGGUGCAAUGCGGCCAGCCUGGACCGAGGAACGCGCUUCGGCUCGGACGCUGGCAUAAUGGUCGUAAACGACCCGUCUUGAAACACGGACCAAGGAGUCUAACAUCUACGCGAGUGUUCGGGUGUCAAACCCGUACGCGCAGUGAAAGCGAACGGAGGUGGGAGCCCCUUUAGGGGCGCACCAUCGACCGAUCCUGAAGUCUUCGGAUGGAUUUGAGUAGGAGCGUAGCUGUGGGGACCCGAAAGAUGGUGAACUAUGCCUGAAUAGGGCGAAGCCAGAGGAAACUCUGGUGGAGGCUCGCAGCGGUUCUGACGUGCAAAUCGAUCGUCAAAUUUGGGUAUAGGGGCGAAAGACUAAUCGAACCAUCUGGUAGCUGGUUCCUGUCG